Non-coding RNA from Rattus norvegicus (Norway rat), 37892 nucleotides. The record is from RefSeq and is a predicted model, not a curated record. Lineage: Eukaryota; Metazoa; Chordata; Mammalia; Rodentia; Muridae.
UUCGCACACCCACUAACCCACUAGUUAGAUUCGUUAUUAUUGGUGUCCUGUGUGUGCUGUGUCUGCGUGUUUGGUAUAUUAGGUUGUGGGUGUGCACAUACAUAGAGAUGCAGACAUUCAGAUGCACACAUGUAUGCAUCUCUGUGUGUAUGUAUAUAUGUGUAUACAUGUAUAUGCAUGUAUGCAUAUAUGCAUUUACACACACACACACACACACACACUUUGAGGUAAUCGGGGUAACCAGACUCCUUCCCCUUUCCAUUGUUUUUCCUUUCUGCAGGAAAGACCCAGUAAGUAGAGGAAUUCUCCUACAAAAAAGCAGUAACAUUGAGAACACAAACACUGGUAGUGAUUUCCUCACGGGAGCCUCGUUCAGCCCACACUCACACCCCUCCACCAUCUCCAAGAUGUCACUGGCAGAUGUUUGUCUCCCCUGAGCUGAGUUCCAUUCAUGCUCAGCUGUGAUGUGUGUGUGACACUGGGAUCUCUUUGGCAUUUAUUCUGGAGGCUCGAACGGUUUUCAUGCUCCUACCGGGGCUGACACUUUAAGAGCUCAGCCAGUUUGAGGUGUUGGGUUUUGUUUUGUUUUGUUUUGUUUUCUUUCCGUUUCCAUUCUGUGUGAAACGGAAGUUGGGCAUGCCAGAAGGCUACAUGCCAUGGUUUACUCAGUCUCUCAGGGAGAUGAGGCAGUGGGAUUAAGGAGUAAUUGGUAUCCUCUUUGCAGAAUGAUUUUUGUUCCAACCUGAGCUUCCUCUCAGGACUGGAAAAGUGGCUGGUAUUUAUUGGGCAGUAGCUCGGUACAUAUCUGUUUGGCCUCUUCCUUAUUUUAAAAGACUAGCUGUUCACCUGGCUGGGCUUGUCCCCAAAUCCGCACCUGGUUCUCCUUUGGCUGUCCUGACCAUGAGUAUAUGUCACUGAGAGUGUUUCCUAUAAUGGGGCAACCCUUCCGGGUCUCUUGUCAUACCCAGCAGCCUUGGCACUGUUGAUAGCAAGAACAGUCUUAUUUCAUUUAAAAAAAAUCUUGAAGACGAUCCUUAUUAUAUUGUAUACGCGUGUGUGUAUACUUGCUUGUGUGCACAGGUUCUUUCAUGUGUGUGAUCGCAUGUGUGUAUACAUGCUUAUGAGUGUGGGAGGUCAGCCCUGGGUAGCGUUUAUCAGUUUUCUUUUUUGAGACAGGGUCUUUCACUGGUUGGAAAUAUCUAUUUAGGCAAGGUUGGCCAGUAAGCCCUGGAGAUCUGCCUCUCUCUGUGCCCUCCACCCCCACCCAGAGUGCUGGGAUUACAGGUUCAUGUCUCCUGGCUUUCUGGUACUAGGGAUUGAUCUCGGGUCCUAAUGCCUUUGUGGCAAGGCUUUGAGCCUCUGAAUCCCUUCCUUCCCCCAGUACUGGUACUUUUUCUGUAAUUUCUUGAAGAUCAAAGCAACUCUGCGCCAUCCCAAGUAAGUUAAUUUGUCCCCAUUUAGCACUUUUCUUCUUAAAUUGGGUGAGGAUAAGGAUUAUCCUGGGCCUACAGUGGAUCUCCCCUGUAUGGUGAGUAGAUGCCCGACAGAUUCAGUUGACACUAGGCGUCAGCUGCUCCCCCUGACUGCCGCUUGACUCCUCCCAGAGAGAAGAUGAUAGUCCUUUUUCCGUUUGUGUUUUGUCUGUUCAGGAGCUGAGGUGUACCUUCUCUGCUCCGCCCUCCCAUUGCCCUGGCAUUUCUUGUCUUUGGGGUCCUUUUGUUUCACUAGCUGGGGCUUGUACUUAGACCACCCCUUCCUGUUGGCACUCCUGUCCCGUGGCCUUGAGCCUCCCUGCAAAGAUACUUUUCUGUUUGCCCCACAGGGAAACUCAGCUUUGCUAUAAAUGGCAAAGUGGCUGAAUUGCUUUGGCUCUGCUCCAAAUGCUGGAAAUAAUCCGAGAGUACAAAAACAUAGCUUUCAUAUGAAAACAUUUAUCUUAGGAGCCUUCGGCAGGCUUGUGUGUGUGCCUGUCAUUUUCAUCAUGAAUUAGUUCCUUUCUCCGAUUGUGUGGGUAAACCUUCCUGAACAUCUGAUGUACUGAGAUGACAGUGAUUCUUGUCCAACAUUGUCACCUUGGGAGCAAUGGGAAGGCAUAAAUGAUGUAAUCGAAUUUGAAGAAAAAAAUUGAGAUGCCUUUGAUACCCAGGAAAGGCUCCUCCUAACAAGGACUUUUGUUAUGAUUUGUUUUCAAUGCUGGGAGUGGCGGCCCACACUUUUUUUUUUCUUUUAUUGGAUUUUUUAAAAUUUAUAUUUCAAACAUUAUCCCCUUUCCUGGUUUCCCCUCCAGAAACCCCUGUAUCCUAUCCCCCUUCCCCCUGCUUCUAUGAGGGUGCCCCCCCUCACCCAGCCACUCCCUCCCACUUCUCCACCCUGACAUUCCCCUAGACUGGGACAUUGAGCUUUGACAGGACCAAGGGCCUCUCCUCCCAUUGAUGCCCAACAAGGCCCAUCCUCUGCUACAUAUGUGACUGGAGACGUAGGUCCAUCCCCGUGUACUCUUUGGAUGGUGGUUUAGUCCCUGGGCUCCCACCUUUAAUCCCAGCUCUCCAGUGGAGGAGGCAAGAGGAGAAAGGAUCUUUGAGUCUGAGGCUAGCCUGGUCUACAGAGUGAGUUCUAGGAUAUCCUGAACUGUUACACAGAAAAACCCUAUCUCAAAAACAAACAAACAAAAAAGUCAAAGCAACCCCCCAAAAAACCCCAAACCAAAAAUUUUGUUUGUACUGACGUGUAUUCAUGCAUGAGAGUGCUACACUUAUAUGGAUACCACUGAGGCCACAGGAGGGCAUUGGAAGCCUUGGAACUAGAAUUACAAGCUGUAGUGUGCCACCCCAAAUGGGUGCCGUGCACCAGACUCAGGCCCUCUGCAGGAGCAGCAGGUAGCCUUACCUACCGACCAUGGGGCCAUUGUCUGGCUUUACUUGGUUUUGUUUCAUUUCAUUUUGUUUUUGUUUUGAGCCAGGGCUCACGAAGCUCAGACUGGCCUAGAACUCGGGAUGUAGCAGAGCUGGCUUUGAACUUCCACCCUUUUGCCUUCACUUCCCAUGUGCUCAGAUCACAAGUGUAUACGACAACAUCCGACAUUCAAUUUUAACUACAGUUUGCCCCGGCUAGAGGUCUAGGCUAGCAACCUCACUCCUUCCCACUGGCAGCCUACUAAACUGCCCUUGAGGCCUUGCUCCUGAAUGGGACCUGAGGAUGCUUAAGCCAAGCUCCCCCCCACACCAACCCCUAAGCCCCCAACCCCCACCCCCGGUCCUUGAGGACUUCGUGACACUCGUGCUUUGAGUUAAUAAAGCAGGGUAGGAUUGGAGCUUGGUCAUGGUUCUAAAGGCUUUGCCUUUCAGUCAGCCCAUUAGAUUAGUAGCUUGGGAAACGUCCCCAGUUUGGGGCUUGAGAGGGCCUGAGUGGAUCUUUGCAGGUGUUCUGCCAUUUUGUCAUGGAACUGGGUGUAAAACCUUCCCCAGUUUGCAAGGCUUCUCAGAAUUGUAUGGUUUAGGAAUCAAGACAUAGAAUCCCGGUUUCAAAUUCUCAGGAGAGGCACUGUGUCUCACCCAGCAGUACCGUACGCAUCUCAAGACUUUAUUUUGAAUAUAACUGCACCCCAAUAGCCUGCAAGUAUUCUUUGUAAUUUGCAGUGGAAUAGAUUUUAAAUCAUAUCUGUUCAUAGUGAAGGGUACCUAGCAUAUAUUUAUUUAUUCCUUUUUUUUAUUCCCCUGUGUAGGCUUGACUGUCCUAGAACUCACUGUGUAGAUCAGGCAGGCCUUGAACUCAGAGAUCUGCCUGCCUCUGCCCCCCAAGUGCUGGGAUGAAAGGGAGUUGGGUUCACCUUGACGGCUGCAGGUCUGUUUGGCCUUCUCCUCCAUGACUCUGUUGUGCCCAGCAGGCGUAUUGCAAACCCUACUUGACAUGACCAGACUGUCUCCUUCCCCAGUGUUAGCACCUUUUCAAGCUCUGGUAUGAGUAUUGCCUUUGGUGACUUUCUACUGUUCUGUGGGCCAUAAUCCAAACUAGUUUGUGGUAGAAUCCAGCCCCGGUGACGUGGCUUCGCCCUCCUGUCUGGGCCUGGCUUUUGGAGGAGGAGAUGUAGGCUGCAUAGAGUGCGUGGUUUGCUCAUCGUAUCUUCCUGUGCCUGUCCCCCGAGUGCUUCCUGUAUGCCUUCCCAAGCCUCUCAAGACUCUUCGAUCUCUAAGCCUACGUUUUUUACUUUUUCUAAACCUUAAGGAAGUUGAGGCUUCAAGGCAUUUGAAAAUUACACACGGGUGUUUGGUAUUUUCACUUCUUUAAUACAAGAGGUUUUAUUAAUGUGUAACCCAGCAUUAUUUGAGGUGUUUUGUUUUUGUAUGUCUAUGUGUGUCUUGCGUGUAUGUAUGUCUACCCACCAUGUGCAUGUCUGGUGUCUGCGGGCCCUGAUGAAUCUGGAGUUAUAGAUGGCUUGUGAGCUGUCCUGUGGGUGCUGGGAAUCGAACCCAGGUCGUCUGAAAGAAUUUGGAGUGCUCCUAACCACCGAACCAUCUCUCCAGCUCCAGCCACGCUGGUUUUGACAAGACUUAAAACAAAACAAAAACCUGUUUUGUAUAAUAUUUAUUUAUUUUGUCUUCCCACGGCAUGAGUGGCCUAGAUAAAUUUAGCUAAGCAGGGCAUGUCAUUCUUCAGACCGUGUUUUAGAGUCCUUGUGCUUAGGACAUGGCCAGGGGUAAAAAGUUGUUUAUUCAAAAGUCUUCGUGGCGAGUCACUGGAUUUGGUGUUUUUCCCCCUCAGUGCUGAGGUGAAGCACAGAGCCUGGCGUGUGCUUGGGAGUGUGCCAGCCCUGAGCCACACCCCAGUGUGAGUCACUGGAUUUUAGAACUGGGGUGACCAAGGUGACUUCAGUCACCCUCAGAUAAGGGAGGCCACACUGUGCCUCAGCUGUUCUGGGGUAGGGGGAGCGGUUCAGGUGGUCACUGCUCUGCAUCAGCCACAGUACUUCUGUAAUUAAUGCCUGAAUGCCUCUGCUGGGUCGGGUGAGGAAGCAAGGUGGAGUAUCAGUUCCAGGAAGACUCCCAACUUCUGUCAACUUCCUGCCCUUGAAAUCCUGAGCUCACCCUGAUAUGAUUUCAUUAUUAUGGUUUUGAUUAAGUUUUCCCCCAAAUCAGAAAGUGGAAAAACACUGGAUUAUUUUGUGGGGCUUGCCUUUCUGUUUAAAUCAUAGGUCAUUUCUUUUAUAAGCUAAUUUUAAAUUGGUAAGAUAAAAUACAAAGGGGUCAUUAUCAAUUAAUGCAAACUUGGGACGACAUGUUCAUGUAAAUAUUAGCACUAGUAGAAGCUGAACCUUGUAGCAUUUGUCUCAUAAAGGAAACGGUUUUAAAUGCUCAAAGUAUUUGGUUGACCUAUUUAAGGGUCAUGAGGUGACAGCUAUUAUUAUCCUCAUUGAAGCACAGAGAGGUUAGGGACUUGUACAACAUCACACAGCCCAUAAGUGGCAGAGCUGGUGGGAUUUAAGUACAAGCAGUCUGAUUCUAGAAAACACUUCAAGGUAUUCGCUGUCUUCUCAUUUUGUACCUACAUUCUGUGCAUGUGUGUGUAUGGAGAUCAGAGACUUGUCCUUAGGAGUUGUCUACUGCGUGUGUGUGUGUGGUGUGUGUGUGUGUGUGUGUGUGUGUGUGUGUGUGUGUGUGUUUGCGUUUGCUGGUUUUUCCUGACAGGAUCACUCAUUAGCCCGGGGUUUGCCUGUUAAGCAGGCUGGUCAUGGAGUCUCAGGAAUCUAUUGGCUCCGUCACUCUAAUAUGUACUAAAGCUCCAAGCCUGCCUUCACAGAGAUGCUGAAACCCCUACUUCCUGCUCCUGCUGUGUGUAACCAUGCUUCUGACAUGAGAGUCGCACUGCAUGCAUGCUCAGUAACGGGGUACCCUCCCACACUGCAUGCAUGCUCAGUAACGGGGUACCCUCCCACGCUGCAAUCAUGCUCAGUAACGGGGUACCUUUAGAGCUUUGCAGCUCUACCCCAUACCACUCUCCUACCAUCUCCACACUGCAGCCCCAGAUGGGCAGGAGAGUGGUGGAAACCACUAUGUUCAGGUGAGAAUUUUCACGCAGAACCAGCGAUAUAUCUAAGCUAGCCUCAUGGCGCUUGCCCAGGUUAAUACUGACAUCUGUUCCCCAAGUGUAUCCAGCUGGGGCGGAAGCCACGUGUGCUCUUUUAGCUUCCUCCUGCCUUUACAGGGUAAUCUUAGACUUGGUUUGUCUUUGAGUUCACAUGUCCUAAUUCCAUACUUUUGGAGCCUCUGUUCCUGACAGGAAUAGGCCCAAGGAAUCUGACAGGUCAGGCAAAGCCCUAGGCACAAAGUCCUACCCAGCCCUCCCACCCCCAAAUGCUUUGUCGGUGAAUGGUACAGGGUGAAGUCAGCUCCUUCCAAUCUAUUUUUCUUUUCUUUUCUUUUUUUUUCUUUUUUUUUUCUUUUUGACUAGCCAGAGUAGUAAUGAGAUGUCGAACUUGGGAAAUCGAUUAAGAAUGAUAGAUCUAGCUGGAUGUGGUGGCUUACCCUUGUAAUGCCAGCAUUUGGGAGGCCAAGGCAGGACAACUGUGAGUCUGAGGCUACUGGGAGACUCCAUCUCAGAAAACCACAUGAGAAAAGAAUGGUAAAUAUAUUUUUAGAAUAAACAUGUUAAUUACAGCAUCAGUGAAGGCUUAAAAGCUUUUCAUUGUGAUAUCAGCAAGCCUUUCACAGUGUGACCCACUUUGAGAGUUGAAUGAAAGCAGAAGUUUUCACAGGCACUGCCUCCUGUUUUAGCUUCACAGAAAGGAGAAGGACCUUGCUAUGGUGGGGGAGGAAGUCGACAGGAUUGGGCUCUGUGGUGGUGGGACAGGUGCCUGGCCUGUGUGCUUGAGACCGGAGCCAGCACCCAGUCUACAACAAAUCAAAGUCGAAAGUUUCUUCCAUGGUAAGAGUGUUCUGCGGUGGAGGCCUGAGCUUCUUACACAAUUACUUUAAUGAGCUCCAAGGCCCUGGUGUCCUGGCCCUAAACAUUCUAGGUCUCAAGCAGGUGGCUCAUUCUGAUUGUAAGUCCAUGUAUCCGUCUUUUCCAGGGAGAUAAAAAACAAAAGAAAAUAAGUCAUUUGUCGUUUUGCAGGGAUGGAGUGUUAGUGACAGUAUGCCUGCCAUCUGCUUUGGUUUCUAUGACGUAAGACACUUUGUAUGACCAGAAAUAGCAAAUUAGAACAGACCGGGCAUUUUGAAAAUCUUGAGUUUUAUAUGAAGUGUGACUAUGGAACGAAUACAGAAAUCUUGGAACAGAGACCCCUUUGUUGGGAUGUGGGAGAAUAUCCAUGAAUUUUAAUGGAAGAUGUGAAUAGACAAAGGAGAUGAUUUUGAAGAAGCUGGAGGCUUCCUUCUGGAAGCUGUGGAGACCCUCCUGGGUAAAGAGGUGGCCUGCAUUUGGAUCAAAGUCAGGCUGGCCUUAGAUGCCGGAAGUCAAAGCUGCUAGGAACUGCGCCUCUGACCCUUUGCUCAGCUCUUCUGGUGAAUUUUGGAGAGAAGGGGAAGUUCCCGUCAUUCCUAAGCAUUUGGCUCUGGACACUGUGUGGUCAAAGCUCAGGGACGCUGAUCACAUGAUUAUAGGGCCACUGCUGAUAGGUUUGACUAGAUUUUGUAUUUGUUGCUAUACUUGAAGGUCAAAGAGAGUCCAGUCAGUCAAUCUGAUCAGGCUGAGGGUUGGUCUUGUAAAUGCAAAGCUGUAUACCUGUGAAUGUAUGUACAUGUUAACAUUUGUUACCCCAAAGCAUUUGAGGUGCUUUCUUGGGUGUUGGUAGUCCAUGGAUGCGCGUGAUACCAAACAAAUGCCAGAAGUUCAGGAUGCUUGUUCCAGGUGAGGCUGGAUGUGGCCACACUUUUCUUGACAAUCCCUCAAACAGUUAGUGUCUCUGUGGCAGUCUACUUAACCCCAUGCUGUUUUGAAUUUUCAUAGUCCCAACUGUAGGGCCGGUUAUGUGUUUAGUGUUCCUAAGGAUGGGCUGUGAUGUGUCUUAGGAAGAAUGUCUAUAUGUUAGAAAGCCACUGCUGCCUGUGAAUUUAAUGCUCAUAAGGUAGCCAUAUACUACUUUUUUUUUUCUUUUUCUUUUUUUCGGAGCUGGGGACCGAACCCAGGGCCUUGCACCUUGCUAGGUAAGCGCUCUACCACUGAGCUAAAUCCCCAACCCCUACUUUUUUUUUUUAAAUAGAAACAAAUAAAACAAAGCUAUCUGGUGAAUGAGCAAAGGAUGUUGGGAACUUGUAAGAACCUGCCUCUGAGCAUCAACUAGGAAAGAAUCAGGGGUCGAUGGAUGCUAAUGAGCGCUCAAGGUUAUCUUGUACCUCAGCCUGUCACCUUGGUCAGUGAGGGGCCCUCCAAAGUGUGUGGUGCCUGUUGGGUUCUGAAGGGUCUUGAGCCUGGGUGAUGUUGGGGUGCAUCUCUGCAAGUGUGUGCAUGGACCAGAACUACAAACCAGCGGUGGAGCUCAGGUGAAAGGAAAUCAGCACAUGACACCUUCUUCCCCAGAAGUCCCGCUCUUCCUUCAUUCGAUACCAACGGGCUCUUUAGAGUGAUCAGUGUAGCUUGUCACUGGCCUCCUGGACUGAUGCCCUGGCAGCAUGCGGUCGGUGUUUAAAAACAGAUUCCAUGGGAACCUACUGUAUGUGGCAAGAGUUGCUUUUAAGCCUAUAGAAGGCUUUGCAUUUCAACAUAUAUUAUUCUGUAGGUUCAAGGAAAAGUAUCUGCAUUUUAAAAAGCUUGUACAUGUGCCUGCGUUGGCGUGUGUGUGUGUGUGUGUGUGUGUGUGUGUGUGUGUGUGUGUGUUUUACCUAUUCUUCUGUAUUUUGUAUAACUGUUGUUUCCUCACAAGAGAGAAAAGAUUGAUGGAGGUGACAGAACAAAACAGGCUCUGUUUGGGGAAGUGUUUUUUUGAGGUCAUUUGGCUAGACAGUGAAUGAGAGAGGCAGAAUUUCCGGUAUGAGCUUUGGUAGGGGAACUGAAGUCUGCCGCAAGGCCUGGGUUCAGUGUCUACAGACUCAUUGAAAAGAGACUCUCCACUUUUCAGAAUAAUGAGUAAUAUUCAAUAGUACAUGAAACCUUAAAAAGUGUGUGUGUGUGUCUGUGUGUGUGUCUGUGUGUGUGUCUGUGUGUGUGUGUCUGUGUGUGUGUCUGUGUGUGUGUCUGUGUCCAGUUGCCUGUUUUAUCGUCAUUCUGUCCUGCUGUCUGUGGCGUCUGUUUGCGGAGUUUGGGUCUGGUGUGUUUAUUUAAUUGUGGUAAGAUGCACAUAACAUUUAUUCUCUUAAUUAGGUGCACUGUUCAGUACUACUUUAGAGCAUUCAGUACUGGUAAGUGAUGGGCCUUCUAGGAGUCUCCUGUCUCCGUCCGUGUCCAGUAAACAGUAGUCCAUCUCCCCUUAGCCCAGUCUUUUGAGGCCGCUGUCCGCUUUGUCUUGUGCAUUUGUGACUCCCAAGUAAGGCACGGAAGCUACACAUAUGGCGUUUAUGGUUCUGCUUUUUGGUGCCUGGCUUAUUUAAUUUGGCACAGUGUGAGAAAGCUGGUCAUCAUGAUGCACACUUGUUAGAGUCCUAGGACUUGGUGGUCGGCCAGCCUAGCCUAACUAAGGAGGCCCUGGUUCCAGGUAGAGACUCUGUCUCAAACCCAAAGUGGAGGCACCCUGGGCUUAACCUUUGGCCAUCACAUUUAUACAUACGGAGAUAAAUGUGUAUACGCACACCAACACACACAUGCGCGUGCAUGGGGAUGGAGGUCGGGACCCUGGUCUGUUUCCUCACACUAAGGCCAGGUCAGUCUGUUGACUCUUGCUCUUUAGCCUUUCGUGGUAACGUGUGUUGUCUGCCUGGGCCUUUUGUUCCAGUAGCAUAAGCAGUUUUAUUUGUAAGCAUCUUUAUGUUUGGGAACUGUUUUCUGAACCUGCCUCCCCCUUCCCUUUUUCCUCCCCACAGAUACACCCUCUGGACAUCUGUGCUUGAGACGUUUAGUGUUUUAUAAUGGUUUUCUCAGAUGCCUGCCUGGCUUCCAGCUGGAAAGAGCAGCCAGGUUGAGGUCAAGACUGUGAACCACAUGGUCGGUCCUUCAAAAGGACAACCUGUCUUUACUCGACUUUGUUCGCCUUUCCGUAGGUCACGGUCAAUCCCGGGCUCACUCUGAGUUCUGUUGGUGACUGACCUAGCAGGAAGCUUUCCAAGCUUCUCAAGGAAGAAGUGCGUUUUGCAUCUUAAACCUUAGUGUUUGUUUCAAGUCGGUCAUAGUACAGUUAUUCCUGAUUUAUAUGGAAUGCCUUUUACCAGAUCUGUCUCAUGUCUCGCUCAUGUCAUUUCACCUCGCAUCAUAGAGACAGAGCUUACACUGCUCUUGAACUCCUCCAUAGCCCAGGAUGACCUCAGACGUCAGAUUGCUCCACUUCCACCUCCUUUAGUGUUUUGUGAUUACAGGCAUGUGUCACCACACCUGGAGAGGAAGCCCAGAACACCGUGCAUGCUGGGUAAACUCUGCCAGCCUAGCUGUAUCCCUGGGUCUCCUCAUGGGCUGUAGUCAUAGAACUUUGGUAUUCUCAGGGCCAGGGUGGAGGGAGGAAUGGCCUUCCUUCCCAUGUGGUCUUCAAUGCACGGGAUGUCAGACAGAAAUCAAACUUGCCUCAUAACAUGGCCCCUCCUCCUAACUGGUAGUUGGUUCUUGUCUACUGAGACCACAUUUUCAGCGAUUUUCUUUUUCUUUCAUAAUUGUUUUCUAACUUCUUCCUGUAAAGCUAUUAUUUAUUUUUAAAUACAUUUUCAAUUGAAUACAUUUUAAAUAUACUUUCAAAUUACAAUAUAAUGACAUCACUUCCUCACUUCCCUUUCUCCCACUUUGUUACAAUUUCUUUUGCUGGGAAUUCUUGACAAGCCUAAGAGUUCAUACUUGCUAUAUCACAUUCGUGCCCUGGAUCUUCUGUCUUGUCACAGAAUUCACAGUAUCACCCUGUCGGAGACGUGGAUCUGCUUUAAUGGUGACUGUCCUUGAUAGAGACUCAAAAGGUCAAAUUUGCUCUCCAAACAUGACAGACUAGGCCAUCUCUUUGAUUCAAGUUGAGCAGAGCCUCGAUUUGGGGCAUGGGAAAGUCUUUGGAGAGAAUCUAGCUUCCUUAUAUAACUGAGUGAGUUUGCUGCAUGCUUUCACUAUGUGAAAUGGUUCAUUAUGCAGACUGCGUGACAUGGAGUUGAGCCCGGUGUCUGCUGAAGGUGGAGGGCAGCGUUUGAAUCGGUCUGCAGUAGAUCCGAGCUUCUCCUGCAGUUUAUCUUGUUUAUCGCUUUGCAUGGGCUGCCUGAUUUCUUGUACACUGAUCCUUCCUAUGAGAUUAACUAGCAAUAAGGCUUUUGCUUUUUCUUGUAAAGUGGACUCAUGAGUACUGAUUGGUGAUGGACAAUACAAUAUGUUCAAUGCAAUGGCUGGCAUCCAAAAAAUGUCUACCACUAUUAACACUUAGUCAAAGGGCACUGAUGGUGGGGAUCUUAGAUGAAAUGCCCUACAGUGGGAAGAGAGAACUUGUAGAGUCCAUCUCCAGCAGAAAGACCUCAUCAAGUGAGGGAUGGGGUUGCUAUCCCACAGUCAAAAUUCUGACCCAUAAUUGUUCCUGUCUGAAAGAACUGCAGGGGUAGAAGUAGAGAGGAGCCCGAUGAAAAGGAGGUCCAGUGACAGGGCCAAAGUGGGAUCCAGCUCAAGGGGAGGCCCCAAGGCCUGACACCAAUACUCAGGCUAUGGGGCCCUCACAAAAAGGGACCUAUCAUGACUGCCCUCCAAAAGACCCAACAAGCAGCUGAGUCAGAUGCAGAUAUUUGUAUACAACCAAUGAACAGAAGCUGCUGACCCUUGUGGUUGAAUGAGGGAAAAGCUGGAGGAAGCUGAGGAGUAGGGCAGCCCUGUAGGAGGACCAGCAGUCACAAUUAACCUGGACCCCUGAGAUCUCUCAGACACUGGAUCACCAACCAGGCAGCAUACACCAGCUGAGAUGAGGCCCACAACACAUAUCCAGCCGAGGACUCCGGGGUCUGUCUGUGUUCAGUCAGAGAAGAUGUGCCUAACCCUCAAGUGAGGUGGUAGGGUGGGGACAUCCUCGUGGAGACAGGGGUGCAGGGAGGAGGUGUGGGAUGUGGAAUAAUUGGAGAGUGGACUGGAAGGGGAAUACAAUCUGGACUGUAAAAAAAAGAUUAAAUAAAAAGAAGGAACACACAGACACACACACACACACACACACACACACACACACACACACGGCACUGAUGGCUUUGGACUAAGAUGGGGAUGUUGAGUUCCCUUUUCUCUCUUUCAUCAAUAGGUACCUGAAGGUGAGUCUGAAAGAGUGCAGUAUGGUCAGGGUUAUUUAUUAAUAGCUACCACAUCACACUUUUCUAGCCACCAAGCAGUAGUCAGUCAUUGCUUGCCAGGUAAAGGGAUGUCUUGUUAUAAUAGAGUCUGCAGUGUCUGCCUUCUGUGGCUCUAUCUUGUAACUGUGUUUUGUCUCUUGGGUUUUCUGAUCCAGGAGGGAGCAAGCUCUUCCUAGUGUUACAGGCCUGGAACAGAGAUAUGGCCUCUCUCCAGAGUACUUUUGCUGGCGGGCUGUGUGGGGAGCCUGGGUGUGUCUGGUCACCAGGAACAACAAAGCCACACUGUGGAUCUGAGGUCCUGGGAAGCCAUCCAGUUUCCUCCUCCUGACCCUGACUCAAGUCUUCCCUGAAGUCCUCUGUCAGCUCCAGUCCUGUUCUCGUCUAUCAACCACCCUCACCCUCCUUCUAUAACCCAGCUGGGUUUCCACAGUGGUUCCUGAGCUGGUGUCACAGGGCUAGUCUAUGCAUAACAGAAAAAAAAAAAAACCAAAACAAACAAAUCCUUCCCUCCCCCCCAAAACAAACAAACAAACCAAAAAAACCCCCAAAAAACAAAAAUCCAGGAGUGGAGGCUGAGACACCAGGACAGUGCUGCAAGUGGAAAGCUGAGGACAAGCAUGGGAUGUCAACAACGUUUCCACCUUUCUGAUUGGAUACUCAACACUUCAGCGUGCUAAGAAGGAAGGUUCUGUCCUCCGUUCUUCUUUAAGAUUUUGUGUUUCAGGUAAACUUCCUUUCAGUAACACUUUUAGAGAAAUUAUUAGUUUAAUUUUUUUUUUAUUCUUUUCCCAUAUACUAUGUCGGGACUGCAGUUUCAUCUCCCUCCCCUCCCCCUCCCUCCCACAUCAACUAAACACGUAUAACAAGCCACAGUAAGGCCAGGCACACACCAUUGCAAAGUUACUGGUUUUCAGUGUGGAUAACAUUGAGUUCAAUUGACUUGUUGAUUUCUCCCCACCCACCAGGCAGGGUUUUGUUAGCUUGUUUGUUUGUUUUUGUCUCUCUUUGCACCUUAUUUUCCUUUCUAUAUUAUAGAAUGUCACGGGAUGUUAAAAGAUGAAAGGGGCAGAUUGUGAGAUGCAGAAUAUAAAAGAUGUCCGUAUAGUUUUUAAAACCUUUAAAAGCAUUUAUUUGUGUGUGUGUGUGUGUGUGUGUGUGUGUGUGUGUGUGUGUGUGUGUAGUCAGAGGACAACUUAAAGGAGUUGCUUCUCUCCUUUGCCCAUGUGGGUCCCAGGGACUGAAUUCGGGGCCUAAGGUUUGACACCAAAAGCCUUUAUCCACCGUGCUGGCUGGUUUUAUGCCAGCUUGACAUAAGCUAGAGUUAUUUGAAGGGAGGGAACCUCAAUGAGAAAAUGUUUCAUAAAAUCUGGCUGUAAGGCAUUUUCUUAAUUAGUGAUGGAUGGGUUUGGCCAUUGAGAGUGGGGCCAUUCCUGGGCUGGUGGUCCUGGAUUCUGUAAGAGAGGUAGCUGAGCAGGCCACGGGGAGCGAGCCAGGGAGCAGCACCCUCCAUGGCCUCUGCAUCAGCUCCUGCUUCCAGGUUCCUGCCCUGUUGAGUUCUUGUCCUGAUUUCCAAUGAUGAUGAAUGGAUGUGGAAAUGUACACCAAAUAAAUCCUUUCCUCCCCAAAUCUACUGGUCAUAAUGUCCCAUCACAGCCAUAGAAACCCUAAGGAAGACACCCACCACACCAUUUUGACAGUCCAAGAGUGAUUUUUUUAAAAUGAAGGCAUGAUUCAUGUAACAUUUCAGCUCUGUGUUAAAAAAAUUACAGAGACUUCUUGAGCAUCCUUCUUACCACAGGGUUGUGUCCAGAUAAAAGGAUUAGAAGUUGAAAAUACUGUCUUUUUGCUGAAACCGUGGAAACACUGCAAGUCUAAAACUGCACGGAUAAAUCUAGCUCUAACGCCAUGUGGAGCCUCCUUUUCUUGCCCUCCUUUUCUUGCCUUCUUCCUUUUUAUUUGCUGUCUGUGUGUAUAUGGGGAGGGGGAAGAGUAGGGGGGAGGACCUGGGAGGGGUCGGGGGAGCAGAACUGUGAUUAGAAUAUAUUGUAUGAGAAACAUUUUCAGUUAAGCAAUGCACUCAGAACAUGGAUAUUAGCAUUUAAUUGGGCAAAAUCAUUCAGCAUGAAACCCAUUUUAGAAUUGUGUUGGCUUCGAUGGAGUUCAUUGAGUGCUCUGCCAAUGUCAAACACAGGCUGAGUCUGUGGCCAUACCUUCCCACCAAUGAAGGGAUUGUAUGGGACUGCAUUUAUCUGAAGUUCAAACCGACCCUAGCAGCCUGUUUAAUCUGGCGUCCAUAACCAGGUGAAGGUGCUGAGGGAGGGCGGCCCGAGAGGGAGCCAGAAGAAAGGGCUGAGAGUCUAGUGGCUUUUUUGCCACCUAGCCUUGCUGUUCUAGGUGUCCAGCCUUCUCUCUGUUGUCACUCAGGAUAUGACGAGUGACUCAAGGCAUGGGGACAGCUCAGUUGUGGAGGAACACACUGGGUCAGUCUCCUGGAAACAGUUACUCUCAGGUCAUGGUGUAUAGUUGUCUGUCCUUUCUCCCCAUUGCUACUGAGUGAGCUACAAUGGUGGCUGGAGAGACACAGGGUAGGGUUUGCCCUUCUCUGCUUUUGACCCCAAGGCUGAUUCUUUCUUCUCUUUUGUUACCGUCUGACAAGUGAGACACACCAGUGACAGUGUAAUGUGACAAGGAUCUGUGAGGUGCUUUUUAUUGGCUGUAAUUAAAAAAAUGUCUUUUACCUCAUUUCAACACAAGCUGUAGACUUUUCCUCUCUCAUUCUAAGGAACCAGACAGCUACCGACCACGCGAUGAAAUCAACACACUUAGCCCUUGAGCUCUGACGAGGUGCAGAGGUUCGUCUGAGGGUAUUUUUAGCCACAUUCAGUAUCAGCUGAGGAAUUAGGAGCAGGCAUUCAACUGGACAAGAAAAACGUCAGGCCGGGUGGCAGUCAGUGACGUCAUGAUGCCUUUUCUUUAGUGGUUAUCAGUGGGAGGAGCAGUGCAGGAACAUCUCUGAUUCAAGGAUGCUGAGGUCCUCUUUUCAGCCCUUUCCACACUGUAGCUAAUCUGAGCUCAAGUGUGUUUUUUCCAAGGAAAGUUGGAUUGGCAUGGACUCACAUGUCUGGAAUUAUCUGAGUCCUUUGUAAACAGACCAACUCUUGGAAGGCAACCUUUGCUUGUCGCUUGCUUUCCUGGGCUGGGUUCCAGAGCUUCCCGACUCCUGGACAAUAACGCGUACUUUUUGUGCUACUUCAGAUAUUUAUUUUACAGAACCCGUGGGCCUUUUAUCCCCUCAGAUCCACUUGGAAAACAUGCUUGUGUCCUAUCAGAGCAGAGGUUCAAAACUCGUGGAGAGUUUUCUGUUUUGACAUUCCACAGUGACAGUGGGCUUUGCAGGAGGAGGGAACCCCUUAUGCUCCCCCAUUUCCCCACCACCACCAAUUCCUGCUCCCCCUCCUAUCCCCUCCUCUCUUCCAGUCUUGCUUUCCUUUUUCAAAACUGACCACAAGCAUGUUCUUGGUGCUCAUGUGCCUUUCUUCAUUUCUGUUAGGCAUUCUUGACCACCAUUUCCAGCCGUCCCUAUGUGGGGAAAGUUAAGUAUUUCUUCAAGAGAUAAAUUCCUUAAGGGAAGGUUUGAACCAUUCUGACCUUUUAAGGUUUUUCUCUGACAUUUUUCUUGCUGUCUGAAAAAAAUGUGCUGUUUCUACUUUUAAGGACAGACAGAUCUGUAGUUUGUGCUAAUGGGUGUGUAGUUGGAGUGUGUUGGAGGUAAGGCGUUGAUGGUUAUAGGGCUGGAAAAGGGCUUGGAAUUCUGUAUCAGGGCUCUCCCUUAGAGGAAGUAGAAACUGCUCUACCACCAGACGGGAGAGUGGGAAAGCUGGGCUGCAGACCUUGCUUUGCUUGAUUCCAGAGACUUCUCUCACAUCUGUGGAGAAGCUAUUUAGUGUAACUGCACUUCUCAGACAGCUGAAAUUCAAAUACCCAUUGUACCUGCUUUUGGGUCAAAGUGUCGUCUUUGUCGUCUCCAUCACAUACCUCAGUAACUGAAGAGUGUUGCCUUCUGAAGCCCUGGCUAUAUGGAACAUGACUCAGCUUUCUGUCUGACCGCAACAGACACUGUUUUGUGAGUGUUGACUGUUAUUUUUUUGGUUUAAUUCCUUUGCAGCUGGGGACAUAUGAAUCUCUUGGCUUGCUAUGACAAGCUACUUGCGUAGGUCCCCAUCCCCACCCCCUUCUUUGUUGUUACUUAGCAUCUUUUGCUGCUCUAAGGGUGGUGUUCAUGACCCUGUUUGCAUCCCUGUCCAUUAUACCUACAGGGUUAUAGUUGUCUGAGAUGUUGACUUUUGUCACAGAGAGGCCACUGCCAGUGAAAACAGAUUAUCUCCAAAGAAGGGGAUGUGGAUGGGACGCAGGCCCUCACAGGGAAGCUACAAAAACUGGAGACAAGCCUGGGUUAAGGUCUUUCUUACGGUUUCCCUAGACAAACAAGCUGGACAGGGAGCAGUGCAUGGAUGAUGUGGGUGGCUUCUAGGCUCCAGACACUGACUAGUUGCUUAUGGUUUGGCCUUGGUGACUUGGGGCAGGGGAAAUAUAUGUUGAAUGUGUGAGAGGAGGCUCUGCAUUGCUGGCCUGAUGGGAAACACUUUGACCAUCAGUUUGUCCCUGCCAUUAACAGAGCACAGAUAAACCUGGAUCAGCUGCCACAUUUUAAUUCCUCGAAGUUAGGGAGAGCUGAGAAGUCCUUUAGCUAGGCAUGUUAGAUGUCGUCUGUUUGUGUGUUCUGUAGAUGUCUGGAGGAGGGUAUUAUUAUAUGAGCAGUGAGAUCCGUCUUAUUUUGAGCUCUUCUUAUAACUUUGGACUUAUGGCAAAGAAUAGAUAUUUUCAUAACUAGAAACAAGGCUCCUUUGUUUGAAACCCUGUAGAUUUGUAGUGACAGCUUUCUUGCCGUGGGGUGAAAUUUCUUUUGUUUUGUUUUGUUUUCUUUUCUUUUCCUUGUAAUUAGAAAUCUUACCCAGUUUAAAUAGAGCCCAGAUGCCAUCCGUAUGAUGUCCUUGUGUAAGUAGUCAUUUAUAUAUUUACAUAAUUAUUAUUUUAAAAAUCAUUUUAUUAUUUGGAGAGGUUCUCACUGCAGCUCUGGCUGUCCUGGAACUUGCUAUGUAAACCGGGCUAGUCUUGAACUCAGGGAUAUGUCUGCCUGCCUCUGCCUUCCAAGUGAAGAAGGUUAAAGGUGUCCUCCACAUGCUUGGCUUCAAGUCACCAUUUCCUACCAUCUCCUAUAAGCCUAAGUCUGGUGUCCUUUCUGUAUGUCCAGGACGACAGUUAUACCUGUUGGAUUGUCUUCCUUGUGUAUUUUCUUUCCUGCUCUUGGCAGAGUUCUUUGUUUUCUUGUGUGUGGUCCGUGUCUAGCAUCGAAGCAUACGCUCAGCAGGUAUGUGUGGAGGUGAAUGUCAAGUGUCGUCUGUGGGGGCUAGUAUGUCACUGCUCUUCAUUCUACUGCUGAUCGAAGGCUACCUGUUGAAUGAAUGGAAGCCUGGUGAGGCAUUAUAUCUGACGGGCCCUUCUAAGCUUUUGUGGGACUAGUGGAGUUCUUAGAGGUAGCACAUACAGGCAGAGGCAGGGGUGGUUUAGGAUAACUGAGCUGGAGAGUAAAUACUGACUCAGAAGCACUUCAACCUAAUCUUGCCUGUAGGCGAGGUGAAAUGAUAUUUCUAUUUGAAUAAAAAUCUCACACAUCAGAAGGCUUUAGAUAGCACGGGAACAUAGUUCAGUGGUGAGAUCAGUUGUAAUCCCUGAAGUUUGUGUAUAUGUUCUUUAUAUGUGGAGAAAAAGACUGCAGCCAUCAUUGAAGAUCUUAGGGCAGGCCAGCCAUGGCUACAUAGGAAAUAGGCUACAUAGGGAGAUUCUAUAAAAACAAAAACCACACACACACACACACACACACACACACACACACACACACACACACACACACACACCCUGUAUGAGAAAUGGUGGAGAGAUAUGUAUGUAUCCCUCCUCUCCUGUGUGGAUAAAAACAAAAACUACACACACACACACACACACACACACACCCUGUGCCGAAGAGAAAUGGUGGAGAGAGAUGUAUGUAUCCCUCUCCUGCAUGGAUACUACCCUCAGACCUGAAAAGAUGCUUUGCCAGAAGUCAAGAGCAGAACUCUGUUCAAGUGUCAAGUAUUAAGACAGUUUCUGCUCAGAUCCAUUCUCAGUGCCUUCUGAAUUUCUGGUUUCCACACACAUAUUUAAAUUAGGCUCGUUAAACACUUUUAUUGGUAUCAUUGUAAAGCAUAAUAUAAAAUCUCAGGCCCUUAGCCACCUUAGGAAAGCAGCUGUCAUCUAUUGUCUCCUAACCAGGCGAGCAGCUUCCUUGGGAGCAAGGGGUGGGGUGGGAAGGUGGGGAUUCGGAGACUCACAGGUGACUUAACCAUGGAGAACUUCCCAGAGACGGGGAGAACAUUGCCCAGGGGGUCUGUGCUUCUGUAAGGAAGUCAAGGAUGAUUUCUGUUUUGUUGUGGGACAGAUCUCCGGGAGGGUAGGAUGUUUCCGGUUUAUCUCCGUAGCGGGUAAAGGUCCUAAGUCAGUCUCUGAUGAAAGCAGAAGGCUGGGACCCACUGGGUACCCUGGGACCCAGUGGUGUGUGUGUGUGUGUGUGUGUGUGUGUGUGUGUGUGUGUGUGUGUGUGUGUGUGUAUGUUCCAAGUGAGUGGUGGACUUGUGAAGAAAAAGAGGUUGGGGUCCAGAGGACACUUUUUUCCUCCUAGUCUGAGCCCAGGGACUUCUAGCAGAGACCAUCACUGGAGGCCAGAAAAGCGAGUCAAGUUCCAGGGUUUCGUCUCCAGGUGUGGUACAACCCAAGAUGGAGGAAGUUGUGCUCUCCGCCCUCGGAGGGCGACUGGUGGAGACAUGCCCUGUUUCCGCUGCUGGCCACAGGCCCCACAGCAGUGUGUGUGUCAUUUGGGGUGACUUAGUGUGUAUCUCCACUCAGUGAGGAGAAAAAGAGCUGACAGAGAACUGGAAUGACUUUUUUUUUUUAAAGGAACGAUAAUACAGAAACAACUGCUUCAGUGACAAUUGUCAUUUCAGUAACACGCGUCUGACUGUCUACCGAGACGAGCAUCAUUGUCUCCCAUUUCUAGCUGUAACCAAGGAGACAGAAUGGAGUUGCAAAUGUCUGCCAUUAGUAUCAAGGGACACUUAUUAGCUUGCUGCUAAGAGUGUUAAUAAUGGGAACUUUGUAGUGAAUUAAUUUUUAUCGAGUUGCAGUUGAUUUAAAGAAACACCAGUUUUCCAUGCAGUUGACAAUGAGCUUGGUAAAUUACUUUAAAGGAAUAUACAUUUGCCAAGGUCCUUUCUUUCCUCCUAAGUUUUCAAGGUGACCCUCGUCAAACACCUUUAAAACUGUUACUAAAAUAUUAUUUUAUGUUUAUGCGUUAUGUGCGAAUGUCUAUGCUGUCAGGUAUGCUGUCACGUGUGUGCACAUGCUAUGCUGUGUAUGUGGAUCCAGUUUUCAACUCUUCCUAUGUGAGUGUCAGGGAUUGGCAUCAGCUUGCCAGCUUCUGUACACUGAGCCAUCUUGCCAGAGCUCCUUCCCCCAGUUCCCCCGAGUCCCCCCUUACACACUGAGCUAUCUUGCCUGAGCUCCCUCCCCCAGCUCUCCCCAUCCCCCCUUACACAGUGAGCUAUCUUGCCUGAGCUCCCUCCCCUGCUCCCCCCCGCCUGCCUCCCCAGCACUAACAUUGUGAGGUUGUGUUUCUUCAUGAGCACUUCUACCCAUCAUUAGGUUAGCCGGGGCUUGUGUGCUUUUCAGAUUGAGCUGGCUCCGUAAAUACGCUUGUUGGGAAUUUUUUUGGGGGGGGAGGGUUCUUAGUUUUAGUUCCGUGUAUUGAAAGUGUGGAACAGUCAAGCCACUAAGUCACUUUGCAAGUGCACAGUUUCACCCAGUGCCACUCUUUUGUGUUUUUUCUUUUUUCCCCCUCUCUUUUGUGGAAAGAGUACCUAGAACCUUUGGCAUUGGCAGAUUCCAAGGAUACAAUUUGAUAUUAGUAGUCAUGGUCCUCAUGUGAUACAACAGAUGUCUCUAUCUUAACCAUCCAGGAUAACUGCAUCUUUGUUGCAUCCAUCUCUCUCUCUCUCUCUCUCUCUCUCUCUCUCUCUCUCUCUCUCUCUCUCUCCCUCCCUCCCUCCCCCCCCACUUCUCAGUUGUGCCUUAGAAGGUUGUGAUGGUUGACCACCAGUGAGUUCUAGGUAACUGUGGGCAUAUGCAUGUACAUUGUGUGUGUGUACAUAUUAUGUGUGUGUGCACAUAUGCAUGUGCAUUUUGUGUAUGUGUGUACAUGCAUGUAUGUUUUGUUUGUGUGUGUGUGUGUGUGUGCGCGUGUGCUCACACGUGCGUGUGCUCAUGGACUUGGGACCCAUCUUGGGAGUCUUCCAUAACUUUGACCACCUUUCCACUUUAUUCUUUGAGGUGGAUUUUCUCAUUUAAACCCAGAACUCACUUAUCAGUGAGUCUUGCUAGCUGGCAUGCUCCAGGGAUUCUGGGUUUCAGAUAUCUGAGACUGGAUUAUAUUAACUGCUUAGCAUUUUCCUGGCCAUGUUCUGAGGAGACUCUAAACUCAGAUCUUCUUGCUUAUUGGGCAAAUGCUUUAACCUCCAAGCUACCCUCCCACCCCCAGCCCCUGGGUGUAUUUUUUUUUGGUUCUAGGGAAAUAGAAUUGCUGGAGAAAGACCAAAACAAAGAUGAUACAUGAGUAAACCAUAAAAUUAAAGCUGUAAACACCCAGCAGACAAAUCUUCACGAAAAAAAGAAAAGAGAUGUGGGAUUCACAAAGGGUGAAAUAGCUCAGGCGGCUUCUAGAAGACACACCCAGUUAAGGAAGAACUUAAAAGGAGAACUCUAGGAAAGUUUAGUCUUAGUGCUGUUUCCAAAUCCUCUUUAGAACUUUAUCUUGAAUCCUAUUUUCUGGUUGAUGUUUUUGUUUUUCAUUUGAAAACAAUUGCUUUUUCUUAGAAAACAAACUCCCAGUUUCCUUGUAGAUGAUAGUCCUGACUGGCUUUGCCUUCGGGCUGUCAAGUCAGAUGGAGGAUGUUGUGACAUUAGAGAUGAGGACGAUGGUGUAAGAAGGACUCACUGUAUUGUAUAUCACAGGGAGACAUCGAACACUUUGUUCUGGGAAGGGAUGUCAGUGACUCAGAUCCUGCCGAAGUCGUCUUGUAAUGAAGGAAACGUUUCAGAGCCACUGCCCAACAUUUAGGUAUCUGGACCCCAACUCUGACCUCAGUCAUUAGCCACAUUGCCCUGUGGUUUAUUUUCUCUUUCUGGUGCUGAGGGUGGAACCCGUGGUCUUUUGUCCUAGGCAAGUGUACCAGUGAGUUACAGAGCUCUGCCUUCCAUCCUCCUUCCAGAGGAGCUCAGUCAUGGUGGGCUUGCCGAGCAUGAACAAAGCCCUGGGUUUGAUCCCAGGACCACAAGAAACAGUAUAGUGCUGGAUGCCUGGGAUCUCAGCACUCAGGAGUGGGGGAGGCAGAUAGAGCAGGCAUUCUCAGCAUCGUCAACUGAGUUCAAGACCAGUCUGGGAUCUGUGAAACCCUGUCUUAAAAAUGAAUGAAUGAUUGAAUGAAUGAAUGAGUAAAUAAAUUCAGCUUUGAGCCCUCCUCUGUUCCUUCAUCAAGACCUCUUUGGUGUUACAGUUCCCAAGGACAAAAGAGAUUUAAACUUUUAAGGGAUUUAAAGAUAUUUUAAUUGAUGCUAGCAGUUCCACACUGGGGGUUGGGGGACGACACUGAUAAUUAAAUACAGGUAUAUGACAGGCAAUGACCAAAUCAGAGCAGCUGGUAUUUCUGUCUCUAGAUACGCCUCAAGCACAGACACGCCAGCGUUACUUUUGUCCUCAGGGUUGGCCAUCCAUCAGUUGUUCUCCAUGUUUUGAUACACAUGCGUUCAGCUGGGGUCUUCUGAAUGACUGUGUUUUCACAAGUGGAGUCUCAUUGAUAAUGGGAAAAAUUUUCCUGGAAAUCUUUCUGCUUUGGGCGUUGGGAAGGACAUCCUGUCAGAAUCAGUACAGACGCCUGUCCCACUUUUUGUUCUCAGGCAGGCGGCUCUUGGAGCUGUCGUUUGCCAGUGGUGUAGCUCCCAAAUGUUUUGCUCCUGGAGCAAUCAAGCAUUGUUUAUUUUUCCAGAUGUAAACAUGACUUAGACCUGCGAUGCGUUUGGCAGAGGAGCCGUGAAUUAGGAGACGGAAAAUAUCUUGGCGAGGGUGUGGAUUUUAUAGAUCAAGAGAUUAGUGUCAUUCAGGGAGUUGGAACACGGCAAGACCCUGUGACAUGUGUCAGUCCAUCUUCUUAGAUGAGCUGACAUGACGUAAGACAGACUACUAGAAUAAAUCUUGAAGGUAGGCAGCAGGGAGCAGAAAGGGAGGCCUGUAUCCUGGUUUUGCAUUUCUAGUGCCAGAAAAACCACUUUGCUAUCAAAAUAAAUAUAAAACAGCCAUCGGCAGACGGGGGGUCCUUCCUGUGCCUCUGGCCUAGUGAUGUUUCCACCUCCUCCCUUUGGCAGUUAGGCAGUGAUCUAGAAAGCCUAGCUUGGUGUGAGGUAUAGGUUCCUAGUGUCAGUGGAGGCUGAAGUCUCUUACUUAGUAAAUUUGUAAAUGGGAAAGAAUUUCCAGAGAACUCUCACGUUGAAAAAUCGCAGAUGGACCAUUAUGUAUUUGUAAGAUGCUUUGGAGUCUAGCAUGUGUCUUUCCAUAAGGUAACUGAUCUGAAGCUUUUCUCCCUCCUUCUCUGUUGUCUGUCUUUCUGUCUGUCUGUCAUCCCCCCCCCCCCAUGUUGAAUACAUGCAUUGGGUUCCUGUGCACCUGUGUGUGGAGGCUGGGGAUUGACCUUGGUUGUUGUUCCUAAGGAGCUAAGUAGACUUGUUUUUCUGAGAUAGGGUCUUCCACUGGGGCCUGGGAAGGCUGGCUGUAAGCCCAGUAAACCCAGGGAUCUGUUCUCCAUCCCCAUCACUGGAAUUAAAAGUGAAUUCUUAUAUGGAUGCCAGGGCUCUAACUUAGGUCCUCAUACUUAACCAGUAAGCAUAGCUAAGCCAUCUCCCCAGCUCCUGAAGCACCUUUUAUAGGUGUAUUUAUAUGUGCAUUUAUUUAGGUGAAGUCUAUGCCCCAGAGCUCAGAAAAGACCCUCUCAUGUGCCAGGUAAAUAGCUCUGGGUGGUAUUGGGCUCUCAGUCUACAGAAGUGCCUUCAGUUGUUUGCACUUCACGCUUUAGACAGGGGAUGGUAGCACCUCAGCCUUUCUGUCAGGCAAAGGAGAGCCGUGACCUGGAUACAGUUUGGCCAGUGAGCUGCAGAACUUGGUUCCCAUCCCAAACCUUUCACUGACUAGUGGUGUGGUGCCAUUUUCAUGCAUAUGAAGUGCCUUUCUCCUAAGUCUUUUGCCUUAUCUGGGGUAGCAGCAGGAAUGGGAGGCCUCUUCUGAAUUCAGAACUUACCACCAGCCCUGCUGCUGCUCCUUCUCCCCACACCUAGGGAAACUGAGCAAGGCCCUUGCAGCCGAGUUCAGCCUUGAGUCCUUGUAUGCUAUUAGUCAUUCCUCACCCUUCUCCAUGAAAGAGAAAGAUCAGUGUUUUUUCUCCUGCUGUGGUGAUUAAGCAUUUGUAGACACAUUCAUUCAGACUUUCCUUAGAAGAUAAAGACCAAACCAGCCACCACCCACCCAAUCCCUAGUGACCCCUUUCUUUUUCUUUUCUUCUCAGAGGGUCUGAGGAGCUCCUUUCUGUGAUAGGUCCAGAACUUUCUUCCUCACAGUAGAAUCUCAUGCCCUCAUUUUGCUUUGCUUUGGUUCAGUUUUCAUUUACUCAACAGAUAUUUCUGAGAAUCUGUUGAACAUCCGAUAACACUAGCUGCUUAGAUACAAAGUUUAAUAAAACAGAGGCCCUGUCUUCAAGAUGCUGUGAUGCCUUCAGUAUGUCCCAUAAACCAUGAAUGUGUUUGCACAUGUAUAUGAAAUUACAAGGGAGGCCCGGUAUUGGGUGGGUAGUUUUUCUGCGUUGUCUGUUGAACUUUGCUGAGACAUUUUUCACUCACCAGUGGCCAGAAAAAAAAAAUAAGUAGAGAAUUCUAUGCGUUUGCAUGAGUUCUGCAUCCUUGGAGAUGAAAAUGUCAGGUGUUACCCUGAGGAACUUUUUCUGAAAGCUGUGAAAUGUCUACCUCAAUGGUUCUCACAUCUGUGACAACUCCCAUAGGGGUUACAUAUCAGAUAUCUUGCUUAUCAGAUGUUUAUAUUGUGAAUCAUAACACUAGCAAAAUUACAGCUACAGGACAACAUGAGGACCGGUAAAGCGCCAUAACAUUAGGUAGGUUGGGAACAACUGGUCUACCUAGGGAUGUCCCGUCCCACCCCCCCCACCCCCCCCACCCCCCCAUGAAACAGCUCAUGGUUGAGUUUCAUUCACAGCUACUUAGACUGUUGCUGCUUCUCCAUAUGCCUCUGGGCUCUGAGUCCAGUGUGGGUUUGUCUUGUGAAAAGAAAGGGACUUUCCCUUUGGAUAAAAAAAAAAAAGCAAGUAUUAGAAAAUGGUGCUUUACUUUUCAUGAGUCUUAACCACAUUGGCAUCUAAAAUUCCUAUUUAAAGUUUUUCCUUUUGUUUUUCUUUAUUUUAGGAAGGUAGACUUGAAACCACCACCAUGGAUUUUCAGGAAAACUGUUAAGGAAUAGAUGUUUCAACAGAACAUGCUGGAAGUGAGAGCCCAGGUUGUAAGAUAGGUCAAGGGAGAUGGUAAGGGUUUUUACAUGGAGUCAUGGUCAGGAUCUUGGAAAGAAAAUACCCACUGAGCUCAAUACUGGAGGCAGAAGAAAUGGAAGCGAACCUUCGACGGAGGAGCUGCUGGGUGUCAUGGCGUCAUGACAGGAGGGAGUAAAUGGUUGCCUCAUAGAUUUUACGUGUUCUGACACUGAGCUGAAAUAGAUCCUCAAGCCGGGAGACUCCUUCAGUUCUGUAUCUACAUGUUUUCUGCCACACUUUCUGGAGUGUGUCAUUGUAUGUUAUGUUCUAUUUCUUCUAAUACUGGGUUAAGUCAGUUCAGGGAGAGAGCAUGUUUAAUUUCCUUUUGGACCAGUGCUGGUUUAAGUCAUGAAGGCGGGUAAUGUAACCGUAGUGUCUGCUCUUGGUCCUUGAAGCAUUUCGACUCGCUGAUGCAUUUGUGUCCAUGGUGGCAGCCAUGAUUGGCAGGUGUCAGUGCAAAGGACUUUCUGACUCCUUCAUUAGCAUCUGGCCCUUUGUCCAGACAGCCAACCUUAGGAACACUAAAGACACAUUGUCCUCUAACCUUUAUAUUAAUGGUGAUAUGCCGUGUCUGUUAUCAAGUGGUGUUUACAGUUAGUUAUUGAUACUUCCUGGGGAAAAUAAUUUAAAAAUAGAGUAAAGUGAGAUAAAUAGAAUUCUUUUAGAAUUCUGUAGUUCAGUAGAAACAGUUAUACGGUUCAACAAACAUCAAGAUUUUAAGGUUUAAUUUUAUUUAUGUGUCUAUGCCUAUGUCUCAGUAUUUGUGUAUGCUACAUGUAUGUAGAUGCCCACAAGGCCAGAAGACCAUGUCAGAUCCCUGGAGCCAUGACUUGUCUGAUGGAAUUGAAUUCAAGGUCCUCUGGAAGAACAGCAAGCUGUCUUCACCACUGAGCCAUCUUUCCUGCCCCCAAGUGGAGUUUCAGUCACAGCAAAAGCCAGUUUAGGUAGAUUAUCAGGACAGGGCGCUCUAUCCAGAGCACCGUCUGGUAAGCCAGUAUGUCUCUCUGAAGCACUGUUGAGCUCCAUAGCUGAUGUCCACGGGGCCUGUUCUCUUUGCCUCACCAACUAUGGAGAAGUUUGCUUUGGCGUUGGAUGUUGCAUGAGGAUGGCUGGCAGAAGCACAUUAAAAAGCAGUAUUUUACCUGAGUUUUAGUUAUGACAGCGCCAGACACUGUCAGAUUAACAUUUCCCUCAUUUUCUGACAUGGAGUGGGUCAUUAACUAAAGACAGUUACUUAGCUGUGUUGUAUGGCUUGCUGAAACGUUUUCUGGAUUGAUUGUAAGGGUUCUUGACUCCCAUAGGCUGUGUAAUUCAGCUUAUCAAAUUCUCUUUGUUGGUGGUGUUGUGGGAAUCCCUGGCCCUGAGAGCAGAGGCUGGCAGCUCAGCUCUGUUCCUCUGCCACAGAGAUGCCUCAGCUCCCAGUUUGGGAUCUUCUAGGAGGGGCAUGAAGAUCACAGAUGUUUGGCUUUUAUCUGUCCACUUCAUUAGUGUUGACAAGGUUCUUUGGGUACUGUUGAACGUACAGGGAACAGGACAUUUCUGUCUGCAAAGUGACACUUGCCCAUCCUUGGGAAGUGUGUCACAGGCUGACUCCACAGUACACUUUCUGUAUCUGUGCAUUUCUCGGUCCCUGAGGAGCGUGGAGGGGUGGGACCAGCGCUGCUUCAUGGAAGGAAUGCUGGGCAUGUUGUUCAAAUGUAGGAGACAGCUCUUGACUAGUCAGAGCCUAGUACUGAGUGUACUGUACUUGGAACAGAAAAUCGAGUGUAGCCUUUGGUCUGAGGCAGAAGCAAACUGUGAGAGGUGUUGAACCAGUGAGCCACAGGCUUCCAUAUGCUUCCUAACAGGUGACUCUGCUGGUGUUAGAGCAGGUAGAUGUAAGGCGUAAGGGGGUAGGGGGCUGUGUCCGAUUCUUUGCUGUUGCUUUAACCAGAUCUCUCAGAAGAAAGUAUUAAGUCAGAUUCUUAUUGUGUUAGAAUAAAUAUGAUAUUCAAAUACCCUCAUUAUUAUAAAGUUCUACAGCAUGUCAAGAAAAUGUAAAAUCACCAGAUACCUUGUAAACGGUAACAGUCACUGUGCUUUUGUGCUCAGUAGUUGUAGACAGUGCAUUGGGAUAAAGUGGACCUCUCCUCAGGUGGGUGAGCUUGCUCUGAAGAGCUUCCACUGUCCAUCCUGAAGGCCUCUGUUCUCUGGUUUGUGUUCUGAAGUGCUCGAGGGAUUUAUUUGAUGAAUAGGUUUAUUAUGCCUGUGCUGCAGACAUUAGACUCUAAACCAUAUCAGACUGCAUUCUUCUUUCUGGGAUAAGGUGUUUAUGUGAACUGGUGGCUAAAGCAGUCCUAAGGAACCGAGUUAAAUGGAACAGGCUAAGUUGCAGGAGGAGCCCAGGGAUAAAAUGUGUAAUGAAGAACGCUCAUAGAAUGUCUGGAUGGUAGUGUAGUUGGCACAGUGCUUACCGCACUUACCUGAUGAUAGUUCAAGAGAGUGCUGGGAUUAUUAGAGUGUUACACAAGCUUACCCAUGAUUUCUGUAACACACACAGACACACACACACACACACACACACACACACUAACUACACCUUUCACAGUGCUGGGAUUAUUAGAGUGUUACACAUGCUUACCAUGAUUUAAGUCACACACACACUCUCCCUCUCCCUCUCCUUCUCCCCCUUUUAAAAACAGCAGGCUUAACUUGUGCCUUCUGUGUUGAUGGGAUUCCUUUGGCCAACCAUCUGCCUUGGUUGAGACCAUUAAGGUAGUCGGUUACACUCAGGACCUACCAAGGCACGGAGCUAACCUGCCACACCUUGACGGCUGAGUGGAUUUUGCUUCCCUUCAGCCUGGGUGGGUAUGAUUUGCAUCUUUGCUAACAUGUGUCUGCAUGAGGAUGGCUGGCAGAAGCACAUUAAAAAGCAGUGGGAAGCCUGGCCCAGCCUCUAACAACAGGUACCGUCUUGCAGAGUAGUGGAUUGUAUUCCAGUAGCUGCUGAGUUUCUUCCCUGUACUACUGGCUCUAGACAUUCAGGACGAAUGUCACUCACAUAUCCCCAAAAGGAACUAACUGUUCAGAGUCCAAAGGGCCCAAAAGAUGAAAAACUCCAGUAUAUGUGUUUUGGUUUUUGUCUGUUUUUUUGUACUAUGGUAUUUGUUGAAAUCAAUUUAAACUAAGAAUAAGCUAAGGGUAUAAAUUAGUUUCUACUUUAAACAACUUGCCCACCCCUAGGAUUUUCUAGCAGGGUGUGGGAACAGAGGGCUGAGACGGGCAUGUCUAUUGAGAAGGUUUACACUUGCUGUUUCUUUAGGAAGUUUGCCCUUGGUAAUUUCCCUGAACUGGCUUUGUUGUGCAUGUGCUGCUCAGUGAAAGCUAGAAGCCUUUUGGGAAAACAGCAUUUGCAAGGGGCCAGAAGGUAUAAUAGCUGAUCCACUGGCACGUGGCCCAGAGUAAGCAGAGGUUGAAGCUUUUAGUGUGGUUUAAAGAUGCUGGCCUGUUAUUGGCCUCCACUGUAAUUGGGCGAGUGGUUUCGGACUGAGCCCACAUUCUGCUUCUCUUGGGAGCAGCUGCUAGGAGGUUCCAGAGUCCCUCUGAGCUAGGGACUCAUCAUCUGGCAUAUUUACUGCAAGCCGGCUUUAUCUUGGGAGCAGUUUCUUAUUAAUGGUGGUAAUAAGCCCAGAUUUUAGUGCAAGAUAGUGCUGGGGUGAUUACACUGUGUUGGCUGAGCAGGGCUCUCACAGAAGUGUCGUGGUACUGCAGGAGACAGGUAUAGAAGGACAGCAAUGGGGUAAGACAGCUAUUCGUAAGGAUGGGGAAAUCCAUACAUGUGAUUGGCUUAGAGCCUUUUAAAAUUAAUUCAUUAAAAUGCUUACUACACUUUUUAUUUUAGUGUGUUUGUACAUGCUGACCAUACCUAUGGAAGAUAAUUCUCAGAUGUCAGUCUUUCUGUACCAUGUGAGACCUGGGAAUUGAACUUAGGUCCUCAGGCUUGGCUGCAAGCACCGUUACCUACUGAGCUAUCUCACAGGCCCUAAUUUAAGAGGCUUCAAAUGUCCAAAAGCUUGAGCUUCCCAGCACCAGUGAAAGAAAGUAUGGAUUAGUUAGAAAAACACCUACCCAUCCUCAUCAGCUUUGCUUUUCUGUUUUUCAGGUCGCGUGCGUGCGUGCGUGCGUGCGUGCUUGCGUGCGUGUGUGUGUAUAUGCGUGUGCUUACUUUUCAUCGAAGUCAACCUUUUCCUUCAGGGAUGUGUUUAAACCUGUCACCUUUUAUCAGUGACUGGGGAUGGAUCAUGCUUUCCACUGCUGCUGCCCCACCCACUUCUUUAACUGGAAUGACUUAUGGAGCCCCACCUCUGUUCUUAACUUGCAACAGUUGCCUGCCGGGCUGAAUCGCUGAAAGACAGAAUGUGGGUUGUGCAGUCACCUUCCUUCAUUUUGUUGCCUGGAGUGUGAAGUGUGGAUGGUGUGGGCUGGAGGAUGGAGGGAUGGACACAGCUCCCUGCAGCAGAAAGGGAAGUGGCUGGGAUCUGCUUCAUUUAGAUUUGCAAUGAGAGUUCUAGUGCCCGGUUCUGUCCCAUUUAUUUCCUGGUGAAUCCGCCUCCACUAUCAGUGGAAUGCUCUCUCAUUUUUCUUCAUUGAGCGAGUAGUGAUAUCUCCCGACAUAGGGGUUUGAGUUGGAUUUUAAUGGAAGCCAUAGAGGCGUGAAGUCUUGUAGAAAAAUCCGUGAAGGGGGAGGAGCGUUGCUUUCCUAGGAGGCCCUGGGACAGGUGGGAGGCUGGGCAGCUGUGUGGGCGGGACUUAGAUUCAGCUGUUUGCCCGGGCACACAAUCUGUUUUACAUCAAGAUGAAGAAGAAAAGGCAUUAACAUCAUGAUGGAUCACUUGGCUAACCCCAGGAAUGUUAAUUAUGUGUCAGAGGUACAUUUUAACCCUUGAAAUAGUGGCUUUUAGCAGGGUUUUGUGGUGGGUAGAUUCAUCUUGCUACCCAAGUUUUUUUUUACUAAACAUUGGCCUGCCAUUUAUAGCUUCUGGGUCAGGCUCACAGGCAUGUGCCAUUUUCUCAGUCUUGUUUGCUGCAGUGACCUCUCUUCUAGCCCUGGCUCUAACCAAAUCCAUCCACUUACCCAUGCAAUGGUGCAGUUUUGUCUAUUUGGAUUCCUAGCUUCCCUCCCACCCAAAUGUUAGGUGAUCCCGUUAGCACCUUGACAUCCAGCCAGGAUGUUCUGUUCCCCCCUGGUUCCCUUCAUCAUAGUCAUGAGCAUUAAACUUCAAACUUCCCUAACAUCUGUGUAUCUCUGUACUUCAUCCAAUUAUGACCAUGAAAUUGCUCACCCCCAAAUAGUGGCUUAAAACAAAACCGGAGGCUGAAUGUUUGUAUUUUCCUUAAACUGCUCUUUCGAAACCCUAACCUUCGAUGGAUGUUGCUGGAGGGUAAGACGGGUGGGUGGUGAUCAGGCUAUUAGAAGGAAGCCCUCAAGAAACAGUUACUAGACCUUUUCCGCCAUGUUACCUGAAAUGCCACAUCAGCUGUCAAUCUUAUUGAACUCUGGCUUCUGCAACCGUGAGAAGUUUUGCUGGCUUCUGGGACCAUGAGAAAUAAAUAGAUGUUGUCUGAGUAACCUAUGAUGUGUUCAUGAUGGGCCAGAGCUAAGACAAUAUUAAUCCUGUAUCUCAUUCUUCAUUCUGUGCCAUGAGUGGGCUUGGCCAGGAGUUCCGGUUUGGAGCAUUUCACAGAGCUGCUAUCAGAGGGUGACUGGAGCUGAGUUGACCCCGAAGAUUUCUUUGUUCAUGGGUCUAACAUUGAGCAUAGAGGAGUCUAACAGCCUGGGCAGGAACUGCUGGGCUCCUGGCAAACUCUGUCUUCUCACCUGGCCCCUCCUUGUGGGAAUCUGUGGUUGCUGCCCUUUUUGUACAUUGGGCUCUGAAGUGAGUUUUCUGGGAGAAACUGGAAGAGCCCACCUCACCUUGGAGGUCCCACAGUUAAGUUUCUUGCCUCCCUUUCUCUCGGGUAGUAGGACUGCUUUCAGAUGAGGACUGGCAACAGACACAUCCUUAGAUGUCACCGCUGGGUAGAAGGAAUCUGAAAGACUGUGGAAAACUUGGUGUUUUAAAUAUUUUUUUCAAGUUGGAUAAAACACAUGAAAACUUUAUUGCCUCAGGCGUCUCGUGUACAGUUCAGUGAUUUAAGUCCAUUCAAAUUACUUUGUAACCACCAACCUCCUCUAUCUCAGAGCACUUCCUGUCACACACGGUAACUCUGUGCCCACGGAUUGCUUCUCCAUCCCCCGGCCCCGCUGGUUACCCAAUGGUCUCUAAGUGUUGACUAUUCAUUCCCCAUGAAUUCAACUCUGAAUACCUCACAUGUAAGCGCAACAUAGUGUUUGGCUUCCUUUGGCUUAUUUCAAUUAGCACGCUACACCCAAAUUCAUGUUAGAGCCUGUGUAAUAAUUCCCUUCCUCUUUAAAGAGUGCACAUGCACUUUGAUUCUCCGCCUCCACUCGUGAACACAUAUGGCUUUGCCUUGCCUUUGGCCAUUUAAACAGUGUUGCCCUGAUGUGGGUACCCUGGAAAGCAUGUUUUAAAAUCACAGUUACCGUUGACUCUGUGGUUUCUCAAGUGCUUUUCCUCACUGAACUGGGGAUUUCUAAGGGUAAGGAUGGUGACUUUUCAUGUGGAAACCCCCCGGGUCCCGGCACAAACACACAAAGUAGUUGCUGAGUGGGCAACACAGGGAUGGAUGGAGUAACGUGAGCCAAACCUACCCGGGAGGAUUCACUUCUUAGGUGUGACGGGUGUUGCCGAUGGGGUUGGGGAGUUCCGAAAGCAGUCACAUUGGACACCACCCUUUGUAAAAUGUUUACUGGAUGACACCCGGGACAGGGCAUUUGUCAAAUACAACAUGAACUUAUAGGAUGAUGUUUUAGUGCUUCCAACGUUUUAAAAGUCAUCCACUGUGCUUCACAUGUGGCUUUUAUAUACAGUCAUGCUCUGUGUAGCACAAAGGAUGACAUUGGGGAGCCAUUUCCUUUGUCUAUUGCUUAGCUUGCUCUUAAUUAAAACGGAAGGAGGCCUGUGAGCCUUGAUAAUGUCAUCUUAUGUGGAGAAUGUGUAACAGCAGAUUUGGUUUUCAUUCGUUCGCUCUUAGCCCCUUGCAUGUGCAAAGCCGCGUGGUAGCAGCCUAUUCUAUCAGUGUAAACCUGAAGUCAGCCCGCUCUCGACUGCGGACGAAGGGGAGUGAUAACAAAACUUGUGCCGAGGAGACGUUGCCCUGCCAUUUUUAAAUUAAGGACCAUGGAGAAAGGAGGAGAUACAGUUAUAGAGCAAAUGAAUAAUCAAGCUUUCUUUUUCUUGCAUGAACCACCCUCUGUACGUGAGCUCAUGUAAAAUUAAAAGCGAAAAUCCCCAAAUGGCCAUGAUUUCCUGACUUUUUGUCUUCAUAAGUGAGAUAAAUACUAAGUAGCCUUUCCUUUUAAUUUCUUGAUUGAUUUAUCUCAUAUUAAUAUUUGAGGAGUCGCUACAGUGUCUACAAAUGCUUCUUGAAUACUUAGUGUGUUCCAAUGGAAAGACCUUUAGAUUUGGUAGCUGGAUUCCUUCAUUUGCCUAUAAAUGUCUUACAUGGAAAGAGAAAAAAGAAUACUAACCUCAGAGGCCAAAAGGAAAGAGUCAAGAUUCGGCACAACCCAGCUGAACGUUGGAGAGCUCGUGAAUCCAUGCAACAUUUGAAAUGUGAUGUUUUGGGACUUGCCAGUCUCUGUGGAGGUGACAUAAGCUAAGUCAUCUAACCUUGGGGAGCCAAGGUAACACUGAAGGAUGCGUUUCUUUAUGACCCUUUGCUGGUCAUGAAGCUUAGGUAGCACUAAAGCUUUUUGUUUAUCAGAAAGAAAAUUGGGGUUCAGAAAAGUAGAACAAAUCCUGCAGCUCUGCGCUCCAGAGGGACUUUGUCGUGUUCUAUUACGUCACGUCUCACUCUCUUCCUGUGAUAUAUUUUCCUCCGUCUUUCCAUCCUCUUCUUUAUUCCCUGUCAGCCUGGUGUGUGCAUGGACACACAUGCUGAGAUCAGGAAGGAUACUGGGUCUGAAUUCCCCCUCCACUGAGCCUACCAGUGUGGCUCCUGCUUGGACAUGGCUAUCAAUCACUGAAGCAAUGGCAUGCUGUCAAGGGCUAAAUAAGGUUCCCUCUUUCUAGGCUUUCCUUUCCUUGGCAGGAUUUGAGCCUUUGGGAUAUCCUUGAGUCGUCUACAUUAUGUUUUUAUCAUCCACAUUAUUAAUUUCUUUCUCUUUAUAACUUGUCUCUAGUCCAGCAUCGGGCUCCCAGUGACAUAAUGUUAGGUAUCAUGGGGUCGGGGCCAACCGCUCUAACCAUGAUGCUGUGCAGCUAGAGAGCCCAUUAAAUAAUAGCAGCGUGGUGACAGCAGAUGAGUCCAAAAACGUCUCCUAUACAUAAAUACAGUAUGGUAAGCAUAGUUUGAUUUAUUGAUUGGGCUUCUUUUGAGACAGGGUCUUAUGUAGCCCAGGCUGACCUAGAACUCAGUUUGUAGUCAAGGCUGGCUUUGAUCUCUUGAUCCUCAUGCCUCCAUUUCUCAAAGGUUGGGUAUUGUAGGCGUAUACCACUGUGUUUACUGUUGUAAAAUUAUAUUAAAGGGCUGUCUUUUAUCUUGCUCUAGGUCCGGCACUGUAGUGCCCCAAGAUAUCCACUAGAUAUCUUGCCAGAAUUAGAAAAGCGUCUUACCGGCUCUGUGCCAUCCCAUAUCACACUGCCGAAGGCCUCUCUCUGAGCCUGGCAAUCUCUCUACCUAUCUAGUUCCCAAGGCAGGUUUCCAUGCCAGAAACACACAUCCCAGCUCUGUGGCAGCCCAGACCAGCCGCCCACACUCCCUUACACUUAAAUCUGCACAUGAAAGAACACACAGCACAAUAACCUUUGAUCCAAUCGAUAAGAUAUAAUUGCCCACCUAAACAUACAAAGCCCGGUGCACAACCUGUAAAGGUACAGUGUGGAAUCUUAACGUCAGCUUCUGGCUACACUGCUGCCUUCUCUUCUGUUCCCAUCUCCUCCUCUUCCCUCAAACUUUUCUCCUGCCCAUCCUUCCUUCUCGUCCAAUGACAGGCCUCCUUCUAUCUCUUGUACCUGCCUCAUCUGUGACAUCAUCCCACACUUUACCAUACUAAAAUAUGAGGGGCUACUUGAUGAAAGGAAAGAGGCUACAAGCAAGAGUACGAAGGGGAUGGUGGGAUGCUUACCAGAUAGAGAUGGCCUCAUUCCAUCUCUGAAUCUCACAAUGGAAGGAAUAAACCAAUACUAAGGGUUUUGUGUUCAUGUCUCUCUCUCUCUCUCUCUUUCUCUCUCUCUCUCUCUCUCUCUCUCUCUCUCUCUCUCUCUCUCUCUCUGUGUGUGUGUGUGUGUGUUCUCAGAGAAGUGGAGACAAGAGAAGUGGAGACAGAGAUUACACACUGUGUUCUGUCCUCCUGCCAUAGACAUAUUAACAUAAUAAUUAAUUAAAAAGUUAGAAAGAACGUCUAUAAGACGGGUGUUAGCUGCAAAAUAUGUAGGGCUGUGCCUAAGGCACAAGGCUGCACAGUCUCAGCUGUGACCCUGUGGACUUUGGAAUCACAUGGAGGCUCUGUUCAGCUUCCUAGUACACUUCACUACCAGCUGUUUUGAGAGACAAAGAGUCUAAUGUUUGGUCCACUCAUGACUGUGCCAUGGUGACUUCUGCACUUUGCCGCCCCCAGCCCCUAUGGCCACUCCAACUCACCAUGGGAAUGCCCUGGAUCAGGACACAGGACACAGUGGCUAAGGUUCAUAAAGCACCCCCUGGUCUAGCCAUCUUGCAAGCUUCACAGGUCAUUUAUCCCGAAUGUGACAGUGCCUGCGAAAUCUUUCUGAACUCCAGGAAAUGAAUACCUCAGAGAGCCAGCCUUCCUUUUAAUUUCAGGAUCCCGAGAAGUUGUGGGUGACAUUGCAGAAGUCCAAGAGAAGAGACUCAUAGGGCGAAGCCAGUGAUAGGACAGCAGCUCCAGAACACUGGGACAGAAUCCUGUGAAGACACUGUCUUCUCACGUUUGCGUGCAGCCUAUCUUGCCCUUCAUUUCUUGGUUUUGCUUGUUGUUUUUAACUUCUUACCCAGCCCCGUGGAAAUGCAUUUUGUGUUAUGUGUGCUGGGUAAACCAACCGCAUGGGUAAGGGCCUCUAAUUGGCUGGCGGAAGUUGGCAGUGCGCCACUCACUGGAGCCUCUUGUAAUUACACUUGACUCUGUCUUUAGGACUAUCCCCAGCAUGCUAGGACCCAUUGCAUGAGAGCUCAGUGGAGCCACAACCUUGGUGGAGGGCAGGGUAGUACAGCAACUGGUGAACUGAGGAAAUGACCCUGCGCCUGAGUCAAAGAAAAACUUUGAUGGAUUAGUUAUAUAGCAAGAAUAGAGUUAAGGCUCUUUUUACAGCAGGGCCAUCUGGAUCCACAGCAUGCCUUUCAUAUUUUAUAAGACCUGCAGAAUGCUUACUUGCUCUUGAAGCUCAGAUUUUGGUAAAAGUGCUACCACGAGGUCAGUUCUGGUUUCCCUUUUAGUUUCGUGUUCAGUUAAGCAACCGGCCUUGGAAAUGGCGUGGCUUUGAAUCUUUGCAUUCUGGGAGAGGUGCAUUUUGACUUUCUUCCUGUGGUGAAAUGCAGUUAGGUUGAUCCUGGGACAACGGCAGCAAAACAUAGGUUGAUGCAGCAGCGGCAUAGUGGAAAGCAUUUGUCAUCUCUUUGCAGUGAGCUCAGAUUUCAGAGAGAUCUGGUUUUUCCACCCUGUGGUUCCUUGCAGUUUUACUCUUGUCCCCCCUUAUACCCUGUACCCCCACUCUCCAGUUCUGCCCGAAGGGAGAAUGUGCUCCCCAUAUCUGGGACUCAACCUCUGUGUGAAGGCCACAGGGACAAUUCAUGAUUGGCCCCUGCCCCUCCCUCCUCCCUCUGAGCUCUAUUUAGACUUACAGGAAAAGAUUUGCGGCUUUUUGCAAGCUUUCAACUCGGAGGUAUUUUGGAAGACUAUAAUUUUGUUUGUUCCCUGCUGGAUGCUGUGGCUUCUUCAAAUACGAGUGUGGUUAUUUUCUGCAUCCUUUCCAUAGCAAACAUUUCUUCCUCGACUGCAGGCUCCAUCCAACAGUAGGUUCUGGAAUGCACUCAUCACCACUGCUCCUGCUCCUUGGCAGUGGCUGUCUCCACAGUGAACAAGCUGGCUGUGGUGCUUGGGCUGCCUCUUCAGGUGCCUCUUCGUCUCGCUCGGGCGCUUGGCCUUGUACAUGCUGGACAGUCAGACUUGCCCAGUGUGUGGCAGAUUCCCUGGAAGCCACGGAUUACUUCUGAGUUAUUAUGAAACUUAAUUUGAUGAUAAUGAGGUAGUUCUGUGUAAUAGCACUUUGGGUAGAUAUUCUACCCAUAAAUCAGUAAUUUGUGGGAGACCAUUAGUGAGUGGCAGGGAUUCUCAUGGUGGACUAUUGGAUUACUGGGGUUUGGAUCCUAGAGUUUUCACCCCUCCUGUACCCCUGGGAAUUUUAUUGUUUCUAAACUACUAAAAUUUUAAUCUGCUUGCAAUUUAUUUUGGUAUAAGAAACAACCGUGGGUCUAGCUAUUCUUUUCAAGCAUUUUUUAAAAUGUUUGUUAAAAUAUACAUGACCUUAAAUAUACCAUUUUAAACAUUUGUCACCAUGUGUGGUUUAUGUGUGAUGAAUAUGUGUAUGUGUGUUUGUAUGUGCAUGUAGAAGCUACGGGUUGGCACAGCUUUCCUCAGUCAUUUUAUUUUAUUUUGAGAUAGGGUGGCUCAAUGAACCUGGAGUUCAUUGCUUACUGAGACUGGCUGGAGACCUGCCUGUUUCUGCCUCCGCAGCUCUGGGAUUUCAGGCAUAGUCCACGGUGCCAGUUUCUACCCGAGUAUGGGCUAUUUCAUGUGAAGUACUCAUGCCGACUACACAGUGCUUCACAGACUGAGCUAUCUUCCCAUCCCCCUCUUUACACACUUUUAUUUAUGUGUACAGUUUGAUGACAUUGAGAACACUUAUAACUUUUUGACCUUUAAGCUGUACCUUAGAAGCCAAAUUAUUAAUAACAUUCCGUGUCCCACUUUCCUUUCUGUAAAUAAGGGGAGACACCUUAUUAAGUUUUUCUUAGUCGAGGUCGAACUCACAAUCUUCCCAUCUCUGCUUUGUGAGUACUGGGACUGCAGGAGUGUGCCACGGAGCCCAGCAAGGCUGUCUGGACAUGAGAUUGAGAGCUAGAAACCCCUUGGUGUUUGUCAGGAUGUGUGGUGAGUGCUCAGUAAUGGUUGUGGCUAAGAAGGCUCACAGAGCUUAGCCAGGGCUGCUCUGAGGCUCACAGGGCUAGCCAGGGCUGCUCUGAGGCUCACAGGACUAGCCAGGGCUACUCAGAGAAACCUUUCUGUUUUAAAAAACCAACCAGCCAACCAACCAACCAACCAACCAACCAAACAACCAAACAACCAAAUAACCAAACAGCCCACCAAAAGAAGGCUCACAGAGACAUCCAGGGCUAUUCAGAUAAACCCUGUCUUGAAAAAACCAAAAACCAACCAACCAGCCAACCAAACAAGGUGGCUCACACUACCAGCAGGCUACUUAAGAAGAAGCAUUAGAGUCUCCUGUCUCAAGCAUGUCCUGUAUAAUCACACACACACACACACACACACACACACACACACACACACACACACACACGGAGCAAUUACUUUCCAUUCCUUUGUUGUGAAGGCAGAAUUCUC